RNAcentral lists this ribosomal RNA (253 nucleotides) under uncultured bacterium. Its description in RNAcentral is "partial 16S ribosomal RNA". It matches the Rfam family "Bacterial small subunit ribosomal RNA", at positions 524 to 776 of the family's 1533-position model. The record is from RNAcentral.
UACGGAGGAUCCAAGCGUUAUCCGGAUUUAUUGGGUUUAAAGGGUGCGUAGGCGGAUUGAUAAGUUAGAGGUGAAAUGUCCGAGCUUAACUCGGGAGCUGCCUCUAAUACUGUUGAUCUAGAGAGUAGAUGCGGUAGGCGGAAUGUAUGGUGUAGCGGUGAAAUGCUUAGAGAUCAUACAGAACACCGAUUGCGAAGGCAGCUUACCAAUCUAUAUCUGACGUUGAGGCACGAAAGCGUGGGGAGCAAACAGG